RNAcentral lists this transfer RNA (115 nucleotides) under Truncatella angustata. It matches the Rfam family "tRNA". From Rfam's summary of the family: Transfer RNA (tRNA) molecules are approximately 80 nucleotides in length. Their secondary structure includes four short double-helical elements and three loops (D, anti-codon, and T loops). Further hydrogen bonds mediate the characteristic L-shaped molecular structure. tRNAs have two regions of fundamental functional importance: the anti-codon, which is responsible for specific mRNA codon recognition, and the 3' end, to which the tRNAs corresponding amino acid is attached (by aminoacyl-tRNA synthetases). tRNAs cope with the degeneracy of the genetic code in two manners: having more than one tRNA (with a specific anti-codon) for a particular amino acid; and 'wobble' base-pairing, i.e. permitting non-standard base-pairing at the 3rd anti-codon position. Lineage: Eukaryota; Fungi; Ascomycota; Sordariomycetes; Amphisphaeriales; Sporocadaceae. The record is from Rfam by way of RNAcentral.
GUCUUCGUGGCUCAGUUGGUUAGAGCGUCAGUCUCAUACUUCCUACGUAUGAUCCCCUUGGAAACGAGGAGAACCACCUAUCUGAAGGUCGCCAGUUCGAACCUGGCCGAGGACA